AGAAACAGUUCUUGUUGGAUCAAUAACAACUGCAAGAAAGGGCUCCUGAUAUUGCUGGUUAAGCAUUUGUGUGGUAACAUCAAUGCCAGAGAGCCAGCAUCCAUAACCAGGAUGAGAAUGGUACCACCCAACCACAUUUUCCAGCCGACCAGCCUAUACCAAAAACUGAGUAAGAGAAUGGUCUGAUACAUUUUCCAGCCGGCCAGCCUAUACCAAAAACUGAGUAAGAGAAUGUAUGAACAAACUACAUCCACAAGCACCUUCAAUUAGGGAAAUCAAUUGAGACACA
This 289-nucleotide long non-coding RNA is filed under the name Nicotiana benthamiana. RNAcentral's name for it is "long non-coding RNA (NBEN_LNC016769)". The record is from RNAcentral. Lineage: Eukaryota; Viridiplantae; Streptophyta; Magnoliopsida; Solanales; Solanaceae.